CCUACGUGGUGCAGCAGUGGGGAAUAUUGCACAAUGGGGGAAACCCUGAUGCAGCGACGCCGCGUGAGUGAAGAAGUAAUUCGUUAUGUAAAGCUCUAUCAGCAGGGAAGAAAAGGACGGUACCUGAGGAAGAAGCCCCGGCUAACUACGUGCCAGCAGCCGCGGUAAUACGUAGGGGGCAAGCGUUAUCCGGAUUUACUGGGUGUAACGGGAGCGUAGACGGCAGUGCAAGUCUGGAGGGAAAGGCGGGGGCUCAACCCCCGGACUGCUCUGGAAACGGGCCGGCUGGAGUGCAGGAGUGGUGAGUUGACUUCCUAGUGUAGCGGUGAAAUGCGUAGAUAUUAGGAGGAGCACCAGUGGC
RNAcentral lists this ribosomal RNA (361 nucleotides) under uncultured bacterium. RNAcentral describes it as "partial 16S ribosomal RNA". It matches the Rfam family "Bacterial small subunit ribosomal RNA", at positions 338 to 716 of the family's 1533-position model. The record is from RNAcentral.